CCAGGAACAGUCCAGAACAGCAGGCCUCCCGGAGGAGCAGCCCUGGCAGGCUCCACCCUGGCAGGGCUUUGGGGCCUGGGGCAUCAGCUGAGCCCGCUGGGCCCACAGCACCCUCAGGACCUCCCACCCCUUGGGAUCCACAGGGCAGCAUUCCAGGACUUCUCCUACACCGGGGGCUCCAUUCACCUGAAGGCCAAGGACUGCAGAGCUCAUUAAUGGAACCUUUGAGUUCAACAGCCCAGGCUCACUGCCCCUUUGGCUGGUGCCACUUCUGGGUCAGUCUCCAGGGGCAAGGACAGGUUGGCAGUGUUCCCUCUCUGCCUAACUCCAGUGUGGACCCUUCUGGAGCAUCCCAUGUGCCUGGCUCAGCUCAGCAAGCUGACAUUUGAAAGCUCACAGCUAUCCUGUGAGGCUUUGUGUUGGAGGUGGCGGCCAGGUCCUGCCAACGGAAGAUGCUGGGCCUUGCAAACAGCCUGCACUGUGGGUGACCCGGCCGGCCGGGCCCAAACUGGCUGCCAAGAAAAGGGAGCGGGAAAGGAAAACAGUUCUCGGCUACGUCGCCUGUGUAACCGAAUCUGCUUUCAAAGCCCCUUACAACGCGGGCUCCGCAUUCGGCAUGGCAGGCGCUGGCCGCCAGAUCACUGAGGGCCGCUCAGGGGGUCUUCUGAGGACGAGCCCAGAGCGAGUUUGUUUUCGGGGAGAAGGUCAUCGCACUCAAGGUCUGCCCCAUGACUGCAGGAUUCUCAAACCUCCUGCCACGUGCUGGGAUACCCCCACCCACCGCAGGCGUACCCUCCGGAGGGCAGGGAGGAGAAACAGGUUUGGGCUGUUAGGGCCACAAGCCAAGGGGCCUGCAGGGCAUCUUAGUGAUGCUUUUGUGUCCCUGCAGUUGGCGACACCCAUUGUCACACCCCCUCCGCACCCUCAGAGUCUCCCAGAUGACAGACUUACCUGGGGAUGCAGACGGGGGCUGGUGAUGACCUUGGCCCUGUGUUUAUGACGGGGUCUGCACCCAAUUCUCGCCUUCAGGUGCCAAUGUGGGGGCGAGAGGAGGUGUCAACUGGGCUGGGCUGGACACGACUAGACUGUGGCCCCGUCUGGGAGCCCGGCCACCACCUCAGCAACGCCACCUCCUUAGGAUGUGGGGCGGGAUUUACUCGGGAGACUCUUAGAGCCAGAGGGUGGCUGGAGGCUCGUAGCCUGGCCCAGGCAGCCGGGGGAGGGCUUUGCCUGGUGCCUGGAACCCCCCCACCCCCGCAUUCUAGCCUUUGCUUUCUCUUUUGCUCUCAUUUUUAAAAACGUCUCUCCACUCCUCCCUCCCUCCCUGCUCUGGCCUGCCUGCUCCUUCAUUCCUUCUCUGCUUCUAACCCCCUGAUAGAGGAGCCUGGGGAGUCCGCAGCCUCCUGACUCCAUGUUCCUCUUUCUCCCCUGUCUUCCUGGAGAGGUCUGCCAGUGACAGGCUUGGAGCCCCAGCAAGGGGACCUGUCUUGGGCUGGGCUGUCCACAGAGGAGCAGCGUGGGGAGUUGGGAGCGCCCAGCCUGCCUGUGGGCUGCAUUGCCACUUCCUGCCCAGGAGCCCCGCAGCCGUCUGUCCGCCUCUGAGCAGGACAGCGGGGUUUCCUGGCUAGGAGCGGAGUGUGUCACGUUCCAGUUAUGUCUGCCCAAUGCUCAGCUUUCGGGUCUGGCUGAAGCUUCUCUGGGGAUUAUGCAAAAACCUGUCUGAGGGAGUGAGAACACAGAGGCACCUUAGGCCCAGCCACCGCUUCAAGCUCUGAGGAUUUGCAACAAAGACACACAUUUGCUGGGCCUGGGCAAAGAGAAAAAGCCACUCGCCUUCAGCAGCAAAGGAGAAGGAGCACUGAGAUCUCGGUUUGGCUUUCUGGGUGGGCACUGUCAUUCCAGAGGUGCAGCUGUGGGGUGCAGUCCUGUCUGGAAAUGGGGAUAGCAAGGGCUGAGCUUGUGCAUGCACACCUGUGUGCAGCCACACACAUACACCUGUGCACACACAUGCAUAUACACUUAUAUGCAUAUACUCAUAUAUGUGCACACACGCAGGCCCAUGCUCACAUGCAUGCACACCUGUGUGCCCCCCACACUUACAUGCACGCGUGCACAGGCACACCUACACACACUCCUAUGCACCCACCCUGUGCUCACGACACCCCUGGGUACACUUAUGUGUGUACAUCCAGAUGCACCUGCACACUCGCACACAUGCCUCUACAUGUACUCCCGCGGGCACGUGCGCUCGCAGAGGCCUGGAAAGUGACGGUUUCUCCAUACGACGACGUCUGCCGUGCUCGGUGGGAGCAGCCGCACUGCUGCCUGUUUCCCUGCCCCAGUCCGGCCAUCACUCCUCACCCUAGUCAGGCUCAGGGUGGGGGAGGUGAGUACCCUGGAGUGGCCUGGUCACGUAGGUGGGCAACCAUCUGGGGCACCAACCUCCAAAUGGGCCACCAGGGCCCUUCCUGCAUCUGCUGAGUCCCUGACUCAGUGCCCAGUGAGGGUCCUGGGGCAGCAAAAGAAUGUUUAAUGCUCCGCGUGUCGGUGGGUCUGGCCUUAUGGCAACUCCUCCCUGGCGGGUGGAGUGGAGCAAAGGGCAGGCGUUCCCGUUGAUCAGGAGCUGGGGGCCAGGCCUACUGACACCUUGACGCUGAGGGGGCCAGAGCAGCCCUGCGCAAUGUUCCACAGGCCCAGGGUCUUGGCAGGUGGAGGCAGGCAGACCAAGCAGGGCCUUUGUGUUCCAGGGCACUUUGCAGGCAGCAGGACCCCCAGGUCCUCUGGAGAGGGUGGCUGGAGACCCGGCCUGGAGCUGCUGCCCCCGCACCUCAGGAUACCUGCCUGCGUGCAUCGUCCAUUGUUUGGGGGCUGCACAGAGCACAGUUUUGAGCAGGGAGUUGGGUGUCACCUUGGAGCGGCUGUGAGACGUGUGGGACCCUGGGGGGCCACCUGGGGUCAAGCCUAGCCCUGCCCCUUGGGCUCUGGGACCCUGGGGGAGCCACUUGCAUGCUCUGUGCCUCGGUCUGUGACCCUGGAGGAGGGUGGGGAUCUCUCGGGAUGAUGGUUGCAUCUCAAGGGUGAGGGCCCCAGGCCUGCCAGGUUCUUUGAGCACAGUCCGAGGGUGGCCUGUCAGGGCUGCUCUGGUGGGCGGCCAGUCCCUGCUGGAAUGUGACUCUGUUCCUGGGAUCAGAACCUGCCCUGUUGCUUGUGGACGGGGUUACUUUUGCCAGGUCCUGCCAUUUCUGAGCCUCAGUUUCCCAAUCCGUGGUGGGGUUGACAUGAGGAAAUGAGAAAUGCACUCAGGGAGCACUGACUGGCACCGCAGGGCAGUGAGGAGGAGCCACCACGGUCACUCUUGGAAAAGUCCCCAGCCCUGCAACCGGCAGGGCAGUAAGAAAGUCCAUGGUUUCUGCUGUCCUGGCCGCCCAAGCCCAGGAGAGGCAGCAGCCCCAGCCACACCCCUGCCAAGAGCCAGCUCAGGGGCCCGGGGCCGCUGAGAUCACUGGGCAGUUCCCAGGCUGGCUGGGCUGUCCUCUGUCAGGAGGGCAGGGCUGGCAGCUUUGUGGACGCCUUCUCAGGCUGACCCCCACAAUAGCUGCCCUGCUCCACCCCGAAUCUACCCGUCCCAGGCUGCGCCUGCCUCCAAGUGCCUGACUGGAGAUGGCCAAGCCCAUUCCUCAUGUGCAAAGAAUUUCCCGAGCAGCCGCAGCCGCUGCAGCUGGAACUUGUCUCCAGAUGGGUCGUUCUGAGGGAAACCAGCGUCUCCUGUCUCCUCCUGCAGACAUGGGCUGGCGUCCGAGCCCUGGAUCCCCUGCCCUGGCUUGGCUUCCUCUGGAGGGGAGAUAAGGGGCUCCUGGCAUCUUGUAGGCUGAAGAACUCGCCCAGCACGCUGACAGGGAGGCGCCAGAGGCAGCCGCUGACCUCCCUCAGCCCCUGCAGCCCCCUCCCCUCUUGCUGCAGACAGGAGCCCUCAGGGCCCAAGGUCCACCUACCCAGCCUGGGGGCCGUUCUGUAGCUGUGGCCCACUCCAGCCAACCCAGGACUGAGGGGCUCCAAAGCGUGCCCAGCGCAUAGGGAGGGCUUAUUCCUGGGGGCACCGUCUCCCAGUCGGAGCCAGCUGGAGCUGGGCACAGCCAGGGAAGAGCAAAUGUGUUCUCUCCUUGACUCCUUCUCCAAGUUUGUGAUGGCGUCUGCCAUGGGCCAGACAGGGGGACACGAGGGUGAACGAGCGGAUGUGGCUGCCUUCUGGAGCCUUCCAGGGUGGGAUGGCAGGCAUGGAGAGGCACACAGGGAAACUGUGGAGUCUCACUGAGGUAUAGACGAUGCAGAAAGGGCCAGGGAGUUCCUACAGCGACUGUCACGAGUUCCUUGGGUGGGGGCAGAGACCACCACCCAGCCCCCAGCACCUCCAGCACCAUAGGCACCCUGGCUGGAGAUGCCUUCCUGUCUGAGGUCAGAGGCUGCAAACCUGUGGCUGUGGUUAUCCCACCAUGUUUUUAAAAAUUGGAACAAUUCAUGUAAAAGCCCAGAUUUAUUUUUCUUGAAAAAAAUUGACAGCCAAGUGUGACCACGGUGGGCUUGUUUCUACAAGUUAGGGGCUCCUCCCUCGGAACAGGCAGUGCUCUUGGUUGCCGUAGACGCCCCCGCUCCCUGUUGUCUCACCCGGUCCCUGCUGGGCCUCUUCGUGGCCCAUCCCCUGGUUCAGAUAUUUCAUUGAAAGACCCAACCCCCCACGGGGAGGCCGUCCUUCUCAGGAAGGUCACUUGGCCUGGACUCGGGACUGGACACUCAUUACCGGUCACCCUGUGACUUGAGCAGGACUUUGCCUUUCUGUGCCUCAGUUUCUCCAUUGUAAGAGGGGGCUAAUACUUGUGUCAUGGGACUGUCCCGAGGCGCUCAGAAGCAGCGGUCUUGCUCAUGCUUAAGCACAGAGCUCACAGCUGGGGACGGCCUCUUUGCCACAGGUCCCUGUGUGCACCCAACUUCCGCUGCAGAGGGCAGUGUUGUGUGUACCCAUGUCUGUGCUGUGGACGCAGCGUGUAAACUGCACAGCCUUUGACGGUGGCUGCCUUUGUUGGAACACUGGCCUCUAAGUGUGCUCUCCAACAGCAUAUGGCCGAAGGACAGCCCCUCCUUUGGCGGGGGAAGUUCUGCACAGCUUUGGUGCUUGGGAGGUUUAGCGAUGGCUUAGGGAGCCACCGAGAUGGGAGGGGAUACAUGGAUACAUUUAUCUCUAUCUUCUUGGGGACAGACCUCGGAGGUCCCUCCUUCUCCCUCCUUCACCCGUAUCGGCCUGGGUGAAUGGAAUCUGCGGAGCAGGUUUCUCAAAGCAAGCCUGGCGGGGCCCUCACAGGCAUUCCUGGAAGCGGGCUGCGGAGUUGAAACACAAGGAGGAAAUAAACAGAAAUAGGCUUAG
Non-coding RNA from Chlorocebus sabaeus (green monkey), 5416 nucleotides. Lineage: Eukaryota; Metazoa; Chordata; Mammalia; Primates; Cercopithecidae. The record is from RefSeq and is a predicted model, not a curated record.